AAGCCCAACCCCCAUUCUCAGCAUCAUCUACAAAUGACAGACUCUGUUGAUUUAGCUUCUUUUGCAUUCUCGUCAGAGCACACUUGGUCCUCCCACACAUCCUCACAGAAAAACUAAGGACAUAUAUUUUGCCUGAGGUUCUUCUACAAUCCGAGGGUCAACUAUAUAACAUGAUGCAGCUUUAUGUAGGGCUGGUGUUCACUAUUUACUUUGGCGUUUCCUCGGGGGAUGAAGUCAAUCAGGAGCUGAAAUCAGAAAAUGGGAUAGAAGAGCAACAAGCCUCCUUAAAGUGUACUUUCAAAACAAGCAGCAGUUAUGCUGACCUUUACUGGUAUCGCCAGUAUCCUGGGUCAGCUCUUCAGUUUAUCCUCUACAACGGGAACAGCAACCGCAAAGCAGAAUUUGCCGAAGUGCGAUUUGACUCAACUGUUGACAAAUCCGCAGGCACAACAGUUUUGACCAUUUCAGAAUUAAUUCCUGAAGACUCUGCCGUCUAUUACUGUGCGCUGGAUCCCACAGUGGUACAUUAAUGGCAACGCUAAUUCAAAAACCUGCAAAGCUAGAAGAAGUGAAUUGGCUAACCUCAACAGGAAAUACAUCUCAACAUAUUGUUUACAGAUCUGGCUGCAGUCCAAUGCAUCUGUAGUGUGUCUACACUGAAUAUAUUACAGUUCGUGGUGUA
Molecule: non-coding RNA, 682 nt
Organism: Anguilla anguilla (European eel)
Lineage: Eukaryota; Metazoa; Chordata; Actinopteri; Anguilliformes; Anguillidae
Source: the annotation of a RefSeq genome assembly